RNAcentral lists this long non-coding RNA (1950 nucleotides) under Mus musculus (house mouse). RNAcentral describes it as "long non-coding RNA chr19:11992162-11994112". The record is from RNAcentral. Lineage: Eukaryota; Metazoa; Chordata; Mammalia; Rodentia; Muridae.
CUUUUUCCAAAUCAAUCACCAGAAGCAGACACCCGUGGUGGUGAUUGGCUGGUUGCCUUAGCUGAUUGACGCUGAAAUCGACGUAGUAGAUGCCCAUGUUUGUAAGGGAGUGGUUUAGUGGCUGGAAGUUAGUGUUCCUCUACAUCUCAAAGGCAAGUAAGUGUGCUUCCCUCUCGGCCUCAUUGAGAUGAUGUCAUUGACCCUCACCUGUGUCCUGCUCAGCCAAGAUCUGCAUAAGAUUGGGAUUCAGGAGCAUUUUGGUGCUGUUCAGAGCAAGAACUGAUUUUAAAGUUCCUUUAAAAAGAAACACAUAAGAUUUACCCAGCAGAGGCAUCACGCCUAGGUCUCAGUGUAUGAAGUGUACUCACACGUGGGAUUGCUGUAACAGGUCGUCGCGUGUAGAUAACUAAGGCUUUGGAGCAUCUGCAGGAGAGAGUGUUCUCUAGGGCUUGAAUAUUGAAUUAUGUUCUUGGAGAUUUUAUCUUCACUUGCAUACAAUUCCCCUCUGCGGUUUUGUCUACUUUGACAGCAACCAGGGGCCUCCUUGGUCGUUGAUAAGAGGGUCACACGCUCCUCAUAAAGGGGUUUUAUGGACUCCCUCAGGUGGAGAACCUCUGCAAACACAGGCAGGGUGGGAGAAGACUGCUAGCCACUUGUACCUUCCCAGUCCCUCCUCAUCCGUCUUUCGUUGCCUUUCUGGCUUCUGUUUCCUGGCACAGUACCAUUUUGAGUUUGUGCCACAGUCUGGAGCAAAACAUUGCCUGACCCAUUCUGUAUACUUCAGAAUCUUAGAGAAGUUCCUCUGCAACAAAUGUUUUCAUCUUGAAAGUCCCAGUAGAAUGGAGCCACUUCUGAAAUAAUGUGUUAAAUCAUCUGUAUAUUAUAUAUAUAUAUAUAUAUAUGUAGAGAAAAUCUAAUUUUUUCCCCCUUUCCCAUGAAGAAUCUUGGUUUUUUUAUAUCACCUGUCUCCCUGGGACUCUCUCAAGUGCGCGUUAAUAUGGGUUGGUGCCUCUGCUUUCCAUGUUUGAGGGACAUUGCAACCCCAAGCAGGGUCAUGUGUGGCAGUUGCUGAGCAGGGACAAGGAGGAAGGUUUUUGUGCCUACCCUGCGGCUGCCUCAGCUCGGCUUUGCCGAUCACACGUGGCUCUUGGAAAGGAAGUCCUGGUCUUUUUCCUGCCUCAGUUUCCUUCCCUAGGAGGCGUACGGGUAGAAAGUCAAGAGGGUGAUUUCUAGCUUCCUUAUGUCCCAGCUCAGGCUAAAUCCCAAAAACGUUUCCUUCCAAGGAUGAGAGCUAAGAGCGCUCGUGCUCUGUGGGAGCUGCUCCUGCUGGCACUGGCACCCUCCCUUUUUCUUUAUUAGUUCUAGUUUCCUGUUCAGAAAUGUAGCCCUUGUGCAACCCACCCUUGGUUGAGGGUCAUAAAUUGAGGUGCCUUCCUUGUGUACUUUUUGUUAGUGUUUUUGUUUUUGUUCCUUAACUGUUGAGCCUCAGCCAGUGUGGGUCCUUGGGGAAAAUAACCAUUCCAGAGGAAGCUAUCCCUCCAGGGAAAUUGGAUUUUACUGGGUAAAUUAGUAUUUUCAGUCCGUUCCCACUGACUCUCCUUCCUUAGAUAAAAUGAUCAAAGAUUGAGCACUAGGGAAUUUCCUCCUAAGAAGGCUUCCCCAGCACAAGGGGUUACUCCAGGGAGGCCCAUAAAAUGGGCGCCGUCUCGGAGGCUUUGGAUAGAAUGGAAAUUUCCCAAGGAACCUCUGUGCUUUCCCCUUUCCCUCUAUCUGCACUACAUUUCUAGCUUGAUUCCCAGAUCCCUGCUAAUGGAAGAAGCUUAGAAGUCCUGAAGAUGGAAUAAAGUCACAUGAAAGCAAAAUAAGACUAUAUAUAUAUUUUCAGUUUUUUUGCCUUAUUGCUUUUUUUCAAAAAAAAAAAACUACUAAAUUAAAUAAUUUUUAAAAAGC